Astatotilapia calliptera (eastern happy) is the source of this 3376-nucleotide long non-coding RNA. NCBI's taxonomy places the organism in Eukaryota, Metazoa, Chordata, Actinopteri, Cichliformes, Cichlidae. The record is from Ensembl.
AAUGACGAAUCUGCGGAUGCAACAUCUGGAGCACGGGGAGUGGAGUCUGUAAAUAAAUCUAACCACCAAAAACCAGUUAACGUGGAACACCCUGCGUGAAAACGGGGCAGAAACGUGGGGCAGGUCUGUAAAUGUAAAUAUGAAUUGUAACACUUUUCCCAUUUCCAUAAUCUGCUGAUAUGAUAUGAUUGGGCUGUUAAACCUACAGGGGAACUACGAACAUUAUGGUGUUGUACUAUCGAGUUGUCUUGCAUGAAGACCACAGAUAAGCGCCAUAAAUCAAACUCAUGUCAGGUCUAAUGGGUCGAAGUGCGUUUAAGGUUCGCUUACAUUACCCUUUCUAAAAUCUGUUGCCGUGUUGCGAGCCUUUUGAAUUGUCGUGAAUUGAUUUACACUUCGGGUAAGCUGGGACAAGAAAUGGAAUUUCAACUUUUGCAUUGAAGUUGUUUGUUUUUCUUCUGUGGUUCUCGUUUACUUGACCUGCAUGAAACAACACAGUAUGAACGUUGACAUGUGCUUCAGUCAUCCGCAGUGACAUUAUUAAGUGCAGGUGGGUUCUCGUCACUGCUCUUCUUCUUUUUUUAUAUAUAUAUAGAGAGAGAGAUAUAUAUUUAGUUUUUGUUUGCAUUUGUCCUCCACCUCUACUCAUUCGCCCAACGAGGUCGUGACAGAGAAGACAAACGUACUUUGGCAACAAAACGUCCAACGGUAGGAGAACUGCGAAAAUACGUGACAGAAAACUUAUAUUAAAUUCCAUACCAGAACUAUUUGAUAUACAGAUCGCGUUUAUCAGUUUAUUAUCAAGAGUUAUUAAGUGCUCAUAUGAUUUUUAAAAUUAUUCUCGAGUGAAAGCGCCUUUCUGAAUAAUGGUACGUCCUAUAAAACCCCACUAGAGAGUGCUGUGGUACAAUUUUAAGGACAACCAUCACUAAGCUAUUCCAAUUCUUUAUGAAAGCUAUUCAUAAGUAAAUGGUUUUGUGUUUGUGAAUUAUGUAAAAAGCCAUGUACUAAUGUUCUGAAAGUCCUAAGCCAUUAAAUACAAAUAUACACAUCAGCCAACUUUAAUAAGUGCCUUCAAAUUUGCCUUCAAAUGGACCAAGCAGCCAAGAACGUCCAAGCACAGAUAUAAUCUUUAAAUUAUGUUUUUUUUUUAUUAUAUCCCAGAAAAGAUAAGAGGUUAUUUCAAAAAUACACAAUAAUAGAAAUAAGCUAUUUUAAGAACUAUGUAGGCCUAUAAAAGAGGUAAACUAAACAGACUUCUACUCAAAAAAUAUCAUAACUCAACAAACUGACCUAUUUAGUAACUGAAUAAACCUUCUUUUAGCAUCAGAUUUUGUUUUGGGGUAUUUCGGUGGGCCUAUGUGAAAUGUAGCUUCAGUUUCCUGUUCUUAACUUAUGUGGUCUGCUGCUGCUGUAGCUCAUCUGCUUCAAGUUUCAACCUGCUGUGCUCUUCUGCAUACCUUGGCUAUAAUGAGUGGCUAUUUGAAUUACUGUUGUCUUCCUAUCAACUCAAAGCAGUCUGUCCAUUCUUCUUUGACCUCUGACAUCAAGUAGACAUUUUCACCCAGAGAAACUCAAGACUUUCAGUCUGCCUUGAAGCAUUCCAAGGGUGUAUAGUAUACCCAGAACAUGGUUGAGACACAUCUCUCGGCUGGCCUGGGAACAACUCAGCGUUUCUCCGGAUAAGCUGAAGAAGGUGGCUGGGGAGGGGGAAGUUUGUGCUCUCUGCUUAGGCUACUGUCCCCACAACUUGACCCUGACUAAGCAGAAGAGGAUGGAUGGACGAACAGAUGGAAAAAUAUUCUCUGCAAACUCCAGAGAAACCCGAGAGAUUGUUGUGUGGAAAAAUCCCAGUAAAUCCCAGUAGGAAAGAUAAAGCCAUAAAGAAUGUCUGAUAUAAAAUAUUACAUGUCACUGUCUGUGACUGUGGGUGUCAUGUUGGUGGGCCUGCUCUACUCCAUCUGUUUAGCCUGUCAGUGGAUUUAUGGUUGGCCUGACAAGCCUGGGUAUAAGAAGUACAUAGAAGCUCUUAAUCCAAGGCGAAUAUAUCGUCUGACCCUCACUACACUGGAUCUUCUCAAAUACCUGCAGUAUUGGAAAGUUUACUUUCAGCUGAAGUCAUGGUAUAACGAUGAGAGGAAUCUAAAGUAUUAUGAAAAGGGCAUCACGUUUGGCCGCAGAGGCAACAAGCUGGACUUAUACCACCCUCCAAAUGUAAGGAAGCUGCCAUCACCGGCGGUAGUAUUUGUCUACGGAGGUGCAUGGGGCACAGGAGAAAGGUCCACUUACUGUUUACUGGGGAGUCGGAUGGCUGAAGAACUGAAAGCAACUGUAAUUUGUCCUGAUUACUGCACAUAUCCAAAGGGGAAUGUUUUAGGGAUGGUCCAAGAUAUCACUGACUGCUUGAUUUGGGCCCACCAGAAUGGAGAGAAAUUCAACUUUGACAAAGAUAACAUUGUAUUAAUUGGGCAUUCAGCAGGUGCACAUUUGUGUACACUCACCACACUGUUUCUUGUUGAUACAAGAGAGGAGCUUUCCAUAGAGCCAGGCAAGCAGCAGGAAGUCUUGCUCUCGAUAAGAGGAAUUAUUGGUCUGAGCGGCGUCUACAACAUCGUGGACCAUUAUGAGCAUGAACAGAAACGAGGAGUUGAACGAGUGUCCCCCAUGCACAAAGCGAUGAAUGGUGUGGAAAACCUUCCAUACUACUCACCAACACACUUACUAAAGAAGCUCAGCCAGGACAAAGUCAACAGAUUGCCUCCAUUCGCUUUGCUCCAUGGGACCAAUGACAUUAUGGUUCCUGCUGAAUCUACCAUAAGAUUCUCUGAGCUUCUCACUUUGCGCUCUGUUAAGAUGUCAUUGAAUGUUCUUCAUGGAGUCGCCCACACUGAGACUGCUGUUGAUCUCAUGGUGUUAAACAGACGCCUCUACCGUCCAAUCUACAGAUACAUCAAAGAAGAGUUUAGAAAAUUUCUGGGUACCUGCUGACUGCAUGUGAUUAGAAAAGUAUUCACACAGCUCCAGUAUGUGCUGAAUUGUACUGUACUGUAAAUUAAAAUCAACCAUUUAAUUAUGAGUUUGACUUGAUUCUCUGAAGCUCUGAUUUUAUAAAACUAAUAUGAUAUUUUUAACAGUACUUUAAUUAUUUUGGAGAGAUGCUCUUUAUAGUGCUGUCAAAUAAGUAAUCACAAAGUGAAAUCAAUUAUAGAACAGUAGGGUUUAUUAGGAAGCUACACACAAUAUUCAAAUCCAGUUACAAAAUACCUAUUAUUGAAUUAAAUAUUACAUUCAAAUGUUAUCUUGUGUUAACAUGUCAUUACUUAUUAUUAUUGCUUCACUUGCAACCAAAAACAUCAUAAAUGUUUUAAGAUCUUCA